CCACAAACAGCCAAGUGCACACACUAAUAUUGGACUGCUACAGACAAGAUUAGCAUGACCCCUGUGAAAGAAUGAGUCAGAAAUUCAGGAAACAUUUCACACUUUU
Molecule: small nuclear RNA, 106 nt
Organism: Stegostoma tigrinum
Lineage: Eukaryota; Metazoa; Chordata; Chondrichthyes; Orectolobiformes; Stegostomatidae
Source: RefSeq, a predicted model, not a curated record